ACAUUGCCUGGCCACAGGGCUGCUGGUAUCAUCUGGAGCUCUCCCUUCCCCAUUCUCUUGGCUGUUCAGGUGACCAGCAUCAAAAGGCAUGCUGGAGACUGAGAGUGACCUGUGCUGUGAAGAUUAGAGCACAGUGUGGCAGAUAACAAGAAUCUAUGCAACCAGGCACCUAUGAAAUACAGAAAGACAACUGCCAAAAAAUGAAAUGUCAACACCAUAGCUACUACCCUGAAGUUCUUUCUUCACAGUUCUGUCUUCUACAACUUUUGACUCACAGACC
This is a long non-coding RNA of Alligator sinensis (Chinese alligator), 280 nucleotides long. RefSeq lists it as uncharacterized. The record is from RefSeq and is a predicted model, not a curated record. The transcript has 3 exons. Lineage: Eukaryota; Metazoa; Chordata; Crocodylia; Alligatoridae.